UUAGUCAGUAGAUGUAUGGCCUAAGGUUAUUGGGAAGAGUAGAAAAAGGGAAUGGUCUCUUAAGAUGAAAUUUUCUGGUCCAUUUCCUAGACGGUGUAUGGAUUUUGUUAGUGCUAACUGCCCCUCAUUCCAGGAAAUCAUUUCUUCCUUACCUCUAUCUCUUGGAACUCCCACUUUCCUUCAAAAUUUAGGUCAUCCUUCUUCUUGAAGCCUUUUCUGGUCCUCCAACCUUCAACUUUCCUGGUACACCUUCCCAAAAUUUCCUUUUAUUCAUUUUGUAUAUAUUCUUGAUAUACUUAUAUGUUUAUGUAUUGGUUUCCCAUUAGAAUGCAAGACAGGGACUGGUUCAACUUUGUCCUUGUGUCUCUAGUACUUAAUGUAUUAGAGAGGGAAAUUAGUGAGAGAUAAUAAGGGAAAUCAAAAGAUGUUACACCAGGAAGCAGUUUGAAGGAAGGAAGCUGAUUUCAGAGCACCUCCUUCACUUCCUGUUCUCCUCACUAAGCAACUUAAUGAAGUUUGCCUCACAGAGGGAUCCCUGCUUUUGUGCAGCCACAACUACUAGAGCUCCUCUUGGCCCUGAAACUGUGACCAGGCCCCCUGAACCCUUAUAUCCAAUCACAAAUGCUAUUCUCUACCCUGGAACUGCAUCCCAAAGCAGCUUAUGGACAACAGAGUGGUCAAUCAAAGCCAGGAGCAUUCAAAGCCAACAAAGAGUCCUCUGUAAUCUCUGACCAGCUGUCCAACCCACUGCUGUCUCUGGCCUGAGAACAUCUGAAGCUUCUUCUGCUGCUUCUGUUAAUGCUGCCUCCAAGCCCAUAAUGGAGUUCCUGUACCUACCUAGGGGUUGCAAAUUUCUCCUGCCUCACCCCUAAUUACACUUGGCUAGAUAAAUAUCUCCCUCUGAAUUUUGUUAGGUCUGCUGUUACAAAGUGUGAUUUGUUAUUUUAAGAUUUUUAAAGGAGAACCUUGGAAGAGUUCAUCUGAGUCUCCACCUACAUCCAACCAUCUUUGCUCCAUCCUAGUGUUAACUAAUUCUUAGUACCCAAUGACAAAAUAACUGUUGCAAUACAGGCUUUAUGUACAAGUCUGAGCUCACAAUAUUAUUAAGUUUAAUAAAAUUAUCCCUAGUGAGGCA
RNAcentral lists this long non-coding RNA (1135 nucleotides) under Monodelphis domestica (gray short-tailed opossum). RNAcentral describes it as "lncRNA (ENSMODG00000045272.1)". The record is from RNAcentral. Lineage: Eukaryota; Metazoa; Chordata; Mammalia; Didelphimorphia; Didelphidae.